AUACGGAGGGUGCAAGCGUUAUUCGGAAUCACUGGGCGUAAAGCGCGCGCAGGCGGUCUUUUAAGUUGGAUGUGAAAGCCUACGGCUCAACCGUAGAACUGCAUCCAAAACUAUUAGACUAGAGUGUGGGAGAGGAAGAUGGAAUUAGUUGUGUAGGGGUAAAAUCCGUAGAGAUAACUAGGAAUACCAAAAGCGAAGGCAAUCUUCUGGAACACUACUGACGCUGAGGCGCGAAAGCGUGGGGAGCAAACAGGAUUAGAAACCCUUGUAGUCC
This 274-nucleotide ribosomal RNA is filed under the name uncultured bacterium. RNAcentral's name for it is "partial 16S ribosomal RNA". It matches the Rfam family "Bacterial small subunit ribosomal RNA", at positions 523 to 796 of the family's 1533-position model. The record is from RNAcentral.